CCUACGGGAGGCAGCAGUGGGGAAUUUUGGACAAUGGGCGCAAGCCUGAUCCAGCAAUGCCGCGUGAGUGAAGAAGGCCCUUCGGGUUGUAAAGCUCUUUCAGUCGAGAAGAAAAAGCUCGCAGUGAAUAUACUGUAGUUUAUGACGGUAUCGACAGAAGAAGCACCGGCUAACUACGUGCCAGCAGCCGCGGUAAUACGUAGGGUGCGAGCGUUAAUCGGAAUUACUGGGCGUAAAGGGUGCGCAGGCGGUUUUGUAAGUCAGAUGUGAAAUCCCCGGGCUUAACCUGGGAAUUGCGUUUGAAACUACAAGACUAGAGUGUGGCAGAGGGAGGUGGAAUUCCAUGUGUAGCAGUGAAAUGCGUAGAGAUAUGGAAGAACAUCGAUGGCGAAGGCAGCCUCCUGGGUUAACACUGACGCUCAUGCACGAAAGCGUGGGGAGCAAACAGGAUUAGAUACCCUGGUAGUCCACGCCCUAAACGAUGUCAACUAGUUGUCGGGCCUUACUAGGCUUGGUAACGAAGCUAACGCGUGGAAGUUGACCGCCUGGGCGACGUACGGUCG
RNAcentral lists this ribosomal RNA (563 nucleotides) under uncultured organism. RNAcentral describes it as "bacterial SSU rRNA". It matches the Rfam family "Bacterial small subunit ribosomal RNA", at positions 338 to 888 of the family's 1533-position model. The record is from RNAcentral.